This is a long non-coding RNA of Raphanus sativus (radish), 457 nucleotides long. RefSeq lists it as uncharacterized. The transcript is spliced from 3 exons. Lineage: Eukaryota; Viridiplantae; Streptophyta; Magnoliopsida; Brassicales; Brassicaceae. The record is from RefSeq and is a predicted model, not a curated record.
CUUAAGAUCGAAGAGAAUUUACAACGAGUGGUGAACCGAAGCUAAAAGCUAAAGCGAAGGGGCUACCUGCGUCGAAGCGUAAUCAGCGCAAUGGAGCCUCCUGGACAUCGUAACCGCCGCCUUCUUCGGCAUCGUCCUUCUCUUCUUCAUCCUCCUCUUCACUCCUCUCGGCGAUUUCGUGGCCGUCUCUGGUCGCCAAACGCCACUCCUCUCCGCCGCGACAGAUCCGAGGCAACGACAGCGUCUGGUGAAUCUGGUUGAGUCUGGUAUUUGCAGCCGAUCGAGUAUUGUCCCGCGGAUGACUCUUCCUCUUUCUGUAUAAGCCGAAGAAGCUAUCACGGUUAGGUCCAGAUUCAACCUCAUCCUUUUGAAAAGCUAGAAAAGAUGAAUUGAGACAGGGAAGAUUAUAAACACUAAUGAGGACAAUGGAAAACAGCUUAUAUAUGGGAAGCUUCUU